RNAcentral lists this ribosomal RNA (371 nucleotides) under Euscorpiops problematicus. Its description in RNAcentral is "partial large subunit ribosomal RNA". The record is from RNAcentral. Lineage: Eukaryota; Metazoa; Arthropoda; Arachnida; Scorpiones; Euscorpiidae.
AAUCAUUAGUCUUUUAAUUUGAGACUGGAAUGAAUGGUUUAACUAAUUAAUUUUGUCUCAUUUUAAUAUUUUGAAUUUUAUAUUUUAGUAAAAAAGCUAAAAUUUUUUUUAAAGACGAGAAGACCCUAUCAAGCUUUAUAAUCAAUUUUUUAUAAUCAAAAUAAAAUUAAAAUUAUUUUACUGGGGCAGUAGACGAAAAUUUUUCGUUUUAUCAUUUUGAUAAAUUUAUCUUGAAAAAUCAAAAAAUUUUUAAAAAAGAAUAAGUUACUGUAGGGAUAACAGCAUAAUUUUUUUAAAGAGAUCUCAUCACCAAAAAAGUUUGUGACCUCGAUGUUGGAUUAAGAUACCUAAUUUACGCAAUAGUGAAUAAG